AUUGAACGCUGGCGGCAUGCUUUACACAUGCAAGUCGAACGGCAGCGCGGGCUUCGGCCUGGCGGCGAGUGGCGAACGGGUGAGUAAUACAUCGGAACGUGCCCAGUAGUGGGGGAUAGCUCGGCGAAAGCCGGAUUAAUACCGCAUACGACCUGAGGGUGAAAGCGGGGGAUCUUCGGACCUCGCGCUAUUGGAGCGGCCGAUGGCAGAUUAGCUAGUUGGUGGGGUAAAGGCCUACCAAGGCGACGAUCUGUAGCUGGUCUGAGAGGACGACCAGCCACACUGGGACUGAGACACGGCCCAGACUCCUACGGGAGGCAGCAGUGGGGAAUUUUGGACAAUGGGCGAAAGCCUGAUCCAGCAAUGCCGCGUGUGUGAUGAAGGCCUUCGGGUUGUAAAGCACUUUUGGCGGGAACGAAAAGGACUGUGCCAAAACCACGGUUCGAUGACGGUACCCGCAGAAUAAGCACCGGCUAACUACGUG
This 484-nucleotide ribosomal RNA is filed under the name uncultured bacterium. Its description in RNAcentral is "partial 16S ribosomal RNA". It matches the Rfam family "Bacterial small subunit ribosomal RNA", at positions 29 to 507 of the family's 1533-position model. The record is from RNAcentral.